RNAcentral lists this ribosomal RNA (226 nucleotides) under uncultured bacterium. RNAcentral describes it as "partial 16S ribosomal RNA". It matches the Rfam family "Bacterial small subunit ribosomal RNA", at positions 524 to 749 of the family's 1533-position model. The record is from RNAcentral.
UACGGAGGAGGCAAGCGUUAUCCGGAAUUAUUGGGCGUAAAGCGUCCGCAGGUGGCACCUCAAGUCUGCUGUCAAAGACCGGGGCUUAACCCCAGAAAGGCAGUGGAAACUGAAGUGCUAGAGUGCAGUAGGGGUAGAGGGAAUUCCCGGUGUAGCGGUGAAAUGCGUAGAGAUCGGGAAGAACAUCGGUGGCGAAAGCGCUCUGCUGGACUGCAACUGACACCGU